GGGUCAGUAGGUUGGUCGUGCCACCGGUACGUACUGGUCUCACUGAUUCCUCCUUCCUUAAGAGCCGUAAUGCCAUUAAUUUGGUGUUGCGGGGAAACAGGACUGUUACUUUGAAAAAAUUAGAGUGUUUAAAGCAAGCUAACGCUUGAAUAAAUUAGCAUGGAAUAAUGAAAUAGGACGAUCGAUCCUAUUUUGUUGGUUUCUAGGAUUGACGUA
Molecule: ribosomal RNA, 216 nt
Filed under: Glomeromycotina sp.
Lineage: Eukaryota; Fungi; Glomeromycota
Description: partial small subunit ribosomal RNA
Rfam family: Eukaryotic small subunit ribosomal RNA (bases 40-216)
Source: RNAcentral